Molecule: ribosomal RNA, 495 nt
Filed under: uncultured bacterium
Lineage: Bacteria
Description: partial 16S ribosomal RNA
Rfam family: Bacterial small subunit ribosomal RNA
Source: RNAcentral
AUUGAACGCUGGCGGCAUGCCAACACAUGCAAGUCGCACGCGAAAGGGGGCAACCCUGAGUAGAGUGGCGGACGGGUGAGUAACGCGUAGGAAUCUACCUGGUAGUGGGGGACAACCCGGUGAAAACCGGGCUAAUACCGCAUACGAUCCACGGAUGAAAGCAGGGGACCGCAAGGCCUUGCGCUAUCAGAUGAGCCUGCGUCGGAUUAGCUAGUUGGUGAGGUAAAGGCUCACCAAGGCAACGAUCCGUAGCUGGUUUGAGAGAACGACCAGCCAAACUGGGGAUGAGACACGGCCCAGACUCCUACGGGAGGCAGCAGUGGGGAAUAUUGGACAAUGGGGGCAACCCUGAUCCAGCAGUGCCGCGUGUGGGAAGAAGGCCUUCGGGUUGUAAAGCACUUUCGGUGGGGACAAACAAGGUGGAGCUAACAUCUCCGCCUCUGAUGGUACCCAAAGAAGAAGCACCGGCUAACUCUGUGCCAGCAGCCGCAGUAA